CUUGAUGCGUGUGGCCAUCAGAUCUACCACCUCAAAUAAUGAGGGAGAUCUGAUGGCCCUUGUUAUUUUUUAUUUUAUUAUUUUUUUUUAUUUUCUGCUUAAUCCAUUUAUUUUGUUUAAUUCAUAGAAAUUUCACUUUUAAUCCAAAAAAUAUGGGACUUUCACCAAAAAUAUUUAAAUAUAUUUCUCUUCCAUAUUCUGAAUUUAAAUUAUUUUUUGGAUUAAUUUUGAUAUUUUUCAUGAAUUAAAUGUUUUGGACUUAUUUUUAAUUAUUUUAAAAUACUUUUUACUUUUCAAAAAUCAUGAAUUUUUUUGUCUAAGGUCCUUUGGCCUAGGAUAAAUCCUUGGCCAUUUAUU
This 357-nucleotide long non-coding RNA is filed under the name Lathyrus oleraceus (garden pea). RNAcentral's name for it is "Pisum sativum (pea) long non-coding RNA (PSAT_LNC008674)". The record is from RNAcentral. Lineage: Eukaryota; Viridiplantae; Streptophyta; Magnoliopsida; Fabales; Fabaceae.